This is a long non-coding RNA of Oreochromis niloticus (Nile tilapia), 839 nucleotides long. RefSeq lists it as uncharacterized. The transcript has 2 exons. The record is from RefSeq and is a predicted model, not a curated record. NCBI's taxonomy places the organism in Eukaryota, Metazoa, Chordata, Actinopteri, Cichliformes, Cichlidae.
AAUCCACUGUGGAUUGGCUGGGCAUGGGACAAAUUAGCUGAUAGUCAUCACCUGCUGAGGCAUGUGUCUGUCCAGUGGUGUCCUUUCAGCUGUUUAUAGGACUUAUUAAAAGGAAGCAAGCUGAGUACUGGAAGGAGAGAGAGGCCCUAGAUUGGAAGAGGAACGCAUGAAGCCCGUCUGGAGACCGGUCAGCGUGAUGUGGUGACCCAGUCCCGACAGCAGGAACGGCGACAGUAGGAGACAACGCGUGUGAUUGACAUCAGUGCAGAUGUAUACCACUGCCUGCAUUUAUGAUGACGUGAGGGGAGCCGCGGUGGUAUCGAGCGACGGACUCCAAUGCAGAAUGCGAACUGGGCUGGGAUGUGAUGGGGCCCAGUGGACGGACGAGACUGGGACAGGAGGCUCCUAGUCUGCCUGGCACGAGGCUGGCGUGGACCUCACUUAGCAAGAGGAAUUUCUGUCCAGCUCAAGAACACACAAGGAGUAUUCGUCCUGGGUUGUGGGACUGGGUGGGAUUUUUGUACAUGAAGAGAAUUGUAUUUUUACCAGUUUUAGAAUAAUCUUAUCUAGUCUCGGUGGGAAUUUUAGCAUAUUGAGAAAAAUGUUGUUGUGAAUUGGCUUGAUUUAAAUCAAACUGAACUGCACUCAAUUAAAACCAAAUAUAACUUGUUAUCAAAUCUAUUCAAAUGUAAAGUCGUCUCACUCAAUUUGGACAACUAGCACUGAAAAAUACACUGACAUCCUCUGUUUCCCAAUUAGCAGAUGAGAGGUUGCUGUUUUAUUCAUGACUCAAUACUUGAAUGGUUUUAUCCUGUUUAUGAAUAAACAUUUUAAAAUGA